RNAcentral lists this long non-coding RNA (10765 nucleotides) under Sorghum bicolor (sorghum). RNAcentral describes it as "long non-coding RNA (SBIC_LNC007238)". The stretch from base 7705 to 7814 matches the Rfam family "MIR5565 microRNA precursor family". Lineage: Eukaryota; Viridiplantae; Streptophyta; Magnoliopsida; Poales; Poaceae. The record is from RNAcentral.
GUGACUCUUAAAGAAGGUGUUGGAACCAUAGGGGAGCUUACCUUCACUGACAACUCCAGCUGGAUAAGAAGCAGGAAAUUCAGACUUGGGCUGAGGAUUGCUCCUGGCUUUUGUGAAGGCGUUCGUGUCCGAGAAGCCAAGACAGAAGCUUUCCCCGUUAAGGAUCACAGAGGAGAAUGUAUGUGUGACACAUUGUUUAUUUACUCAUUAGAUGAUAUAAAAAUUACCUGUAUUUUUAGAAUUUGUAUCAGUUGCCAAGCAUGCUGAUUUUGUAUUUAUUAGUGUACAAAAAGCACUACCCACCUGCGCUGAAGGAUGAUGUUUGGAGAUUAGAAAAGAUUGGCAAGGAUGGUGCAUUCCACAAGAAGUUAAAUGCUAAUGGGAUCUAUACAGUUGAAGACUUCCUCCGGCUUCUUGUUAGGGAUCAGCAGAGAUUACGUAGUGUAAGUUCUGUGAUACCUGUUAUUACUUACUAUAUUGUGAUUUAUGGUAUUUCCUAUAUAAUUUGACAUCAUAUUGUGAUUUAUGGUAUUUCCUAUAUGAUUUGACAUCUCUUGUUUCUGUAGAUUCUGGGCAGUGGAAUGUCAAAUAAGAUGUGGGACAGCCUUGUUGAGCAUGCAAAGACAUGUGUCUUAAGUGGAAAGCAUUAUGUAUACUAUGCUAGAGACUCGAGAAACGUGGGUGCAAUAUUCAAUAACAUCUAUGAGUUCACUGGUUUGAUCGCCGAUGAUCAGUUCAUUUCAGCUGAAAAUCUCACAGACAAUCAGAAGGUUAGUGUCCUUUGCGACCCUACCAACCACAAUGCCUUAAGUCAAAAACCUUUACAAAUUUGUAUAGUGUCGUCUGUUUGAUAUUCUGCUAAUGUAACCAGUAGAGUAUUUCAGUAGGCAAAGAAUCAACAUUCUUUUUCAAAGAAUAAUACCAUCACUGUUUGUAUGACAGGGAUUGCUUUGGAAGUUUCUAGGAUCUAUUAGCUAAAUCUGAAGGGUUUGAACCCAAAUCCUCUAUCCCAGAGUAGUCUACUGACAUAUUUGUAUUUGUGCUCAUGUUAAACUGCAGGUCUAUGCUGAUGCAUUGGUAAAGAAAGCAUAUGAGGACUGGAUGCAAGUUGUAGAAUAUGAUGGCAAGGCACUCCUGAGCUUCAAGCAGAAAAAGAAAUCUGUCACAACAAGAAGCGAUGCUGCAGCUGCCUCAACAAGCAAUCCUGCUUCAUAUGGUUCGACCAAUUCACAGAAACAAAUGUCCCUUCCAGCAAAAGCUGGACAAACUUCCUCUGUGGGUACUAUGAAUGAAGGUGACAUAUCCUGAUUUAUCCUAUUGAGUUUUUCUUUUUGUUUUAUCCAUACUCUAGUGGCCAUGAGUUUUUAAGGAGAAUUUGCAUGAUAGUAUUGCAAAGAGCAUAAAUUGAAAUAAAAUAAUAUAAGCUAUUGAUGGUGGCCACCUGAUCCAUUUUGGAUGGGAUUUUCCAACUUGUUGGUCUUUGUGGUGACACUGUACAGCAUUGCCCAGUGCCCUUCUUUUAUCAUUUCUCAUGACAUGCCCAGUGAUUUCAGUCUAAGCCUAUCCACCCAUCCUUGCUGGCCCAACAGUGGUGUGCAAAAGUGACAACAAAAUUUUCUGAUAGUUUAUAUUCUUUGUGUACACAACCCAAUUGAUUUACUUCUCAUCAUUUUUUUUGGUCACUGCUGUCUGUUCUGAUUGCAUGGUAUGGAUAUGCUUCUGCAUAUGCCACAUUAUACUAGCAGGGAUCAGUCAAGUAGGAUUGUUCAGUUAUCCUCAACACUGGAAUUAUGGCAUCAGUAACUCUGGCAGGAAUUGCACUAAUGCUGCCUUAUACUGUUGCUGUUGCUUUAUGACAUUUUAAAUACUUAUUAGUCAACAAUUGUCGGUUGUGUAUAGAAAACGAUACUGCUUAUGAUUAUGGGAUAUGGAUGUGCAGUUUACAUGAUUCGUGAAUUUAAUUAAUUCCAUGCGUAUAGAAAAUGAUUUGCAUGAGCUGUGAAUUUAAUUACUUUACCAUGCGUAUGCUGUACUGACAUCACUGAAUUACUUCUGUUCAGCAGAUGGAACUAGAAAUGCAUACAAUGCAAAUGGAAACCAGUCAGCAAGAUAUGCAGCCAACACACAGAACAUUCCUGCAAACAUCACCAUGCAAUAUGACAGGAGUGCAGUGUCUCCUGAAAGCCAGUUUAGUGGUUCAUCCCUUCAGAGUCAAGCUUCAAGAGGGUCCAAUAUGCUAGCACUGGGCCCUUCGCAGCAACAUCAAAGUUUUGAAUUCCCAGCACUUGGCCAGUCUUUGCAGCCAACAGGCCUGAAUCCUUUUGAAGAAUGGCCACAGCAACAGGAGAACCGUGGCGGUGUUGAUGACUACCUGAUGGAGGAGAUCAGGAUGAGGAGCCAUGAGAUUCUGGAAAACGAAGAAAUGCAGCAAAUGUUGCGGCUUCUGAGCAUGGGUGGUGCAGGAACCAACCUAACUGAAGAUGCCUUCAAUUUCCCCUCAUACAUGCCUGCACCUUCACCAAACUUGAGCUAUGAGGAUGACCGCACCCGCGCACCUGGGAAAGCCGUUGUCGGGUGGCUCAAGAUCAAGGCUGCUAUGCGGUGGGGCAUCUUUGUCAGGAAGAAGGCAGCUGAGAGAAGAGCUCAGCUUGUUGAGCUAGACGACUAGAAAGUAACAGCUGGAAGCACGUGCCCUCGAGCUGUUCAUGUACCAAAGUUUCAUUGAUGAUGUUUGUGGAUCCGGAUGGGCUCAGCUAAUGCCCCUUAGGAGGACAGUUCUGGUCCUGAGCUUAAUUAUGUACAAAACACUUUCCAUUUUUCUCCUUUUGUAUAGCUCUUUUACCAUUUAAAAUGUGCUGUUUGUUUAGUGUGAUGCUAGCCAUGUUAUGAACCUUAACCUGAACUCUGUACAUGCAUUUGUUACAGAAUUCAAAACUGGUAAACAUUGGCAUUCUGCAUCCUUUUCUCCGGCAUUAAAUAGCGGUCCACAGACUACAUCCAGUGGGAGGUAUUUGCUGGGCUCCGCCUUAUGCUCCACGGAUAUUACUAUUGUUUCAAAGCACGUCUCGGUGUUUUCGUCCAGAAUGGUUUGUGGCUUGAUGUAUGCAGAAAUGUGGCCCUAUGGUCUUUGGGACAAACUUGAGGUGCUUGAUGUAUGUUUGGAUGGGGGCAUAACUUGGAGGCGGAGUCCCACGUAGGUCUUGUUUAGCUGCAUUUGGUAAUUUCGUAUCAAUUUAAAAUCUACGUGUGUUGGAGUGGAUCGGUGAGCCUAUGUUUAGCUGCACUUGUAAUUUCGUAUCACUCUGAAUCCACAUGUGUUGUGAGAAUUAGUUAAUUAUCCAAUUGUGUUGGAGUGGGUUGGUGUGAGAAAUAGUUAAUUUUUCAUUCUAAUCAACCAAAGUAUUUGUAAAUUGAGGUGGACAUGUGUGCAUUUAGUUUGCGACAAAAUAGAGGACGGUGAAUGAAGUCACUCUUGCGGCAUGAAUUUACCAGUUUCCUUGUUUUCCAUGUGCUGAAUUUCUUUAGUGUUACUCAAGACGCAUGAAUUUAUCAGUUUACUACUCAUAUGAUUUGUGCUAGUAAAACCUUUUUAAGUUUAAUUAGAUUUGUAGAAAAUAUUAGUAAUAUUUAAAUAUCUAAAUUAAGUUUAUUAUUAAAAUAUAUUUAAAGAUCUAUCUAACAAUAGUAGUUAUGUAUCAUAAGUAUUAAUAUUUUGUUACAUAUAUUUGGUCAAAGUUAAAGAUAGUUGAUUUCUUAGGAAGCGAGAAUACUCUUUUUAUGGGACAUAAGAACUAGUUUUAAUGUUCUAAAUUUCUUUAUUCAACAUGGCAUAUAUUUAUUACUUUACCAUUUAUGGGAAAAUGUAAUCGAAAAUGACAAGUGAAGCGUUUACCACUGUGUGAACAUAGGGAAUGUGCUGAGUAGGGUUAGGGCGCAGCUCUGUGAGAUUGAAAUGUUAUGUUAGGCUAGCCUAAACUCACUAAUUAUCCCUUCACUUACCAACUAGGUUCGGAUGCCGAGUUCUAAAUUCAUCAAUUUUACAUGUGGCGUUAUCUUGCAGAGGCUACAAUUGCUUUGGGACAAAAAAUAAUAUGCAGGGGAGGAGAAAUAGAGCAGUAAAAGCACUGCUCAGGCGUUGAGAGAAAAGGAGGCUGUGUUUUUGAGUAAAAGAAACCGUGGAACUUUGGUUGGAAGAAUAAUGGUUUUUGCAACCUUGUACCUAUGCUAUGUGUCAUAUCAACUUUUGUUAUCAAAUAUUGAUGUAUGCUUGUAUUGGUGAACCACGUAGAGAUCUAAUGGUUGUUAGCUCUCCACUAGAUCCUAAUGCACAUGCAAUGAGUUAGAGCAUCUAGUGGCACUGUGACAACCACAUUUCAAUAUAAGUUUCACCCAUCUUCAUAGUACGACUAUUGAUCCUAAAUGUGAUCACACUAAGUGUCUUGACCAUGAAAACAAAGAGCUCCUAUCAAAUAUACCUUUGGCUUGAGCUUUUUAUUUUUUUCUCUUUCUUCUUUUCCAAACUCGAGCACUUGAUCAUCACCAUGGCCAUCACCACCAUCAUCAUGAUCUUCAUCAUUCGCUCCACCACUUGGAAUGUGCUACCCUAUCUCAAAUUCACUUAGAGCCAAGGGUUAGCACUUCGGGUUUCAUCAAUACACCAAAACCAAACAAGAGCUUUCAGAAAUGAAAGCUACUGCUAAGGCGGUGAGAGAAAAGAAGACUCUGGUGAAAGGUCCUAAUGGCUAGAGAGAGGGUGAAUAGCCUAAUAAAAUUUUCUACAACAACACUAAAAGCACUUGACUAGUAUAUAAGAAAGCAAAGCGAAUUUGGCACUAGCUCUAUAUGGGGCAUGCAAAACUCCUACCCAAACUAGUUUCUAUAGUCUCUAAUGAAAUACACCAAGUCUAUGGCACUACUUACCUCUAAAAGAUAAGCUAAGCUAAGCAAGAUAAGGAUCACACAAGCCACGAGGGUGCCGCACUAGGGUGCCGCACAACUAACACAAGAUAUUCUACUUUUUUGACUCGAUUUUGGAAUUUCUAAAAAUCAUUAUCACCUUCAGCUGGUAACACGAACCGUGGUGAUUACUUUUUAUCACAGUUGGUUUCCUAACCGGCGGUAAUAACAUUGGGCAUCACCGCCGACUUUCAGUGCUGAGGGCCAAAACUGUUAGUGAAGGGGGUUCUGGAGCCGACGGUGAAUACAUAUUCUGUAGUAGUGAUGAUAGGGUCAUCAGUUAAAUACUAGUUCUAAUGGUUCAUAGAAUCGAUACGAAAGCCAACAUGUGCAAACCGAUGAUAAAAUGAGACAUUGAUGACGAUGAACGGUGGACAGUUACUCGCUACCUCACUGGAGAAAACUACCUGGUAGACCAGCACGAUCAUGGCUAUCGGGUCCCCAAAGAUGACGUCGAUGACGACACGUACUAUAAAAUAGAGGAUGCUGAGGCAAAGCUUCACCUAGCAAAAUUGCUUCUAUCCCAAUACUGUUGGAUAUAUAGAGAUCACUCAUAUAGUGCACCCAUCCUAUAUACGUAUCUAAUGACAAUGGGGAUGGGAGCAUAUGCCCCUUAAGGGGAACCAUCCUCUUGCUACUAUAGAUGUGGGAGGCAUCGUCGGCUGAGGCCUUGAUGAAGCAAUCAGCGAGGAUGCGCUCAGUCCCAGAAGGACACGUUGGCGAAGCUAAAGCUCUUGCAAGCAGCCAGGUCCCUGACACACGCCACAUGCAGAAACACCACCUCAAUGUUGAUGGAGUAGUAGAACCAGCUCCUGCGGUUUGUGCAGUGGCGCCCCUCGGUCUUGUUGGCAUGGAGGGCGCAUGGCAGAUCAUCUUUGCCCAUGCCCAUGCACAGCUUGAAGGAGAGUCCGACAAGGUUCAAGAUCUUCGACAGGCUUGUGCAACACAAAGUGGAUGUCGUGGUCGAAGUUGGCUAGUGGUAGACUAACCCACACGUGGCGUCGUCGCACGCAUCAUAGAGCCUUCGGCACCCAACGAGGGCUUGUCAAGAGCAAGAACUCUUUGCCACCGAUCUCCCAUAACUUAUGCACGUGCGCGCAACUGAUGUGGAUGUCCAGGUCACACGCCGCGUCGUGACCGCACUCGUACCUCGCGCCGGUGCUGUGCUAUAACACUGUAGAAAUAAUGUUUAGCAUCGUUCACAGAACCCAAGUCCUAUACAAAAGGCCGGCUAGGCCCAAUGUCCGUUUUCACAUAAUAUGUCUUACAUUAGCGACCAUGUGUGAUCAUCAAAUCUUCAUCUAACGGUUCAUAUACUCUUGUAACUCCUUUAAAACCCUAGUAUCUUAUGAUCCCUUGAAAACCUUGAUCAAACGGUCCAUCUUCUCUCUACUCAUGUAUAUAAACUCGUGACCACCCAUCAUCGAUUUCUCACGCCUCACCCAGCCGCCGCCCAUUCUUUAUCGCCUCAUUCCUCUCAGAGCUCUUGCACACCUUAGAGCCUUGUUGCUCGCAUCCACAGUUACAUUCCUUGCGAUUAUCUUUGCUAGAGGUGGCAGCGAUACAACUCACCCUUCUUCACUACUUCACCUCCCUUCAAGCAUAUCCUAUUUCACAACUUAUUGAUGCCAGAUCUGUCGUCUGCAGUGGGUGCGCCUUCUGCUUCUUUUCCUCAUGUUUUUUAUGGUGUCUUGUGUGACUUCUAGGAGCAGAUCCAAUGGUGGGUGAGUUUGGCUCAAGCUCGCUACUACCUCUACAACCUUAGAGUCCCUUCCGUAAGCUCCUCCUAAAUUUUAAGGGAGGGGGGAGGGGGGGCUUAGGAGGUUUGAAGGAAGCAUAAGGCACAUUUACUCUCUAUUUUUCUAUAGAUUUGCCCCUUGUCAUCGUUAAUUAAUUUGUGACACAAUGUCACCACACUCAUGGUGCAUUCCUUUUCUAAACCUCAAGUUUUAUAAAUGGAUUGUUUUCUAAAUCUCUCCUUUGCUGGCAGCAAAGAAGAUGGCAAACACACAAGCACGAAUCAGGACAAACAUAGUAAGGUAUGCCUGGAACUUUUCUAAUCAGUGGUAACAAAGUUACCAUAUAAGUUAAGUGAUGUGAUCUCUCGAUCCUACGAACAUUAAAAAUUUAUUGAAAAAAGAUAUUGUACCAUUUUAUGACAUUGUAUCGGCGCUGUUUAGCACUAUUUAUCAUUGUCCACUAGUAAGUUACCAUAUAAGUUAAGUGAUGUGAUCUCUCGAUCCUACCGAGAAAGAUGUUAUAACAUUAAAAAUUUAUUGAAAAAAGAUAUUGUACCAUUUUAUGACAUUGUAUCGGCGCUGUUUAGCACUAUUUAUCAUUGUCCACUAGUACUUUUGAGGGGUAUCUAAAGUCACUUUUACUAGUUAUGUGCUACAAGUUCUCUUUUUUUUCUAGAAGGAGGGUAUAGAUAUCAAUCAGGAUAGUUGAAUGAAUUUGACACAAAGCUGUCCUACCAAAUGGAGGAGUAGGAAAACCUUUUGCCAGGUUCAAUUUGUGUCCAAACAUAGUACCAGCGCACCUCACUUUCCACUUUGCACUGUGCUGCUGACGGCGUAUUGGCCAGAAAUACCAGGCCGGCAGGCCCUAGGCUCCCACACCUCCCAGUCCCAGUACGAGUGGCCACAGAGUGACAGGAUCGGGAUCCCAAACGCCACAUAAGAUCCGUACAUCUUUGACUAGGUACAGUGUCGCGCGUCCCCGCCCCACCUAUUGAGGUCUUGUUUGGAUGUUGUUAGAUUCACCUCAAUCCACAUGUGUUGGAGUGAUUUAGAGUAGAAUUUAGUUCAAGUUCCACUCUAACUCACCCCAAUACAUAUGGAUUGAUGCGAAUUACAACUACAUCCAAUCAAGACCUUAGGCCAGUCUCAAUGCAUGUUUCGUAAGAGUGUCAUGCACAUUAAAUAGGGUGCCACAUAAGCAAAAUUGCUGACUUGGCAGGGUCAUUAAAUGAAGGAGUUUCAUCAGAUGAGAGAGAAGUUUCAUCUCCAUGAAACUCAUAUGGCUCGGUUACCUAGUUUAUAGUUUUGUUAACUGUGCCAUGAAACUAUGCAUUGAGACUGACCUUAUGUGUUUUUUCACCAACCACGAACUGAAAACCCACCCCACUGAUUGGUGGGACGCCAUUGCCGAGGUCCACCUGUCAUCGAUGUCGGCUCAUGCUGCCUGAGACAUCACCGACGAAUAGGACCCAGCGCAACAUGACCCACCAGUCAGUGAAGUUCGAAUAAUGAGCGGCAGUCCGCAACGCCCCAAUAUAGAGCACGAAAUAUCCUAUCAUCUGGUCCGGCCAUCUUUACCCGUAGCCGCCGCCGUCGGCAUGCGCCCCACCACCAGGUCACCCACCUUGUCAACCCCCACUAUUCCACCCGCGCACUGACACGUGGAGCCUCUGCUUCCAGGACCCGCUUGUCAUUGUCCGUUGGUGCCGGACCUCCGAUCUCGUGGGCCCGGACAGUCAGCGAGCGAGAGCCGUGCCGGAGUGGCUUGCGGCCGGGUAGGCGAAGCACGCAAGUAAACAAACCCAUUUGCCAGAGGCAGCACAACAAGCACAGCACCCACGCAGAGCGGCGCUCGCUCUCCGCCCCGCUCCGCCACACUCCCCAGAGCGCAGAUCUCUCGCAGCAGCUCGGCCUCGCGAUUCCGCAGGAGAGUGUUGUACUCCGCGCCGGCGGCGCCGAUUCGGUACCACGCCGCUUCGCUUCGCUUCGGCUUGCGUCCCUGCACUCCUGGUGCUUAUUUUGGGGAUUUUUUUUUUCACCUUGGUUUCUAAUGGGCGCAGAUCUGACGGGCGCGCAGCGGAAGGCUGGAGGAGGGCACUAGGAGCUGAGGGGGAGGCUAGGGUUAGGGUUCCGGCGCGAUGCAGCGCCCGGGACGACUUCAGCGGUCGGGGUCCAAGCGUGGGCUGGACCCCACCGGUAGCGGCGACGACGACGACCAUGCGCCCAAGCGCCCGCGCGUCCCCGCCCUGGCUAGGUGCGCGUGUGUUAAUGCUUUGAUUCUGCUAACUAGAGUUUUUUCAUUGGUUAGGUUCCAUGCCUUAGGUUGUUGCCGGUUUGAGACGGGAAGAAAUAUGAAACCCCUGCUUUGCUUUGAUUGAUUGAGAUGACUGGCGGAAGUAGCAGUGAUUACUAUGCUAGUGUUGUUGCUGUUAAGCUUAGUAUCAGUAGUUCGGUACAAAUGAGUGCAGGAAAAGGAAGUGGCCUAUGAGUCUUUUUGUUGAUUUGAUUAACCGUCGGACCAAGCUCCAACAGGAGUUUGGUUUGGUACAUGUGGAAACUACCUUUUGUUCUGAGAUGAGGUACGAAUUGCUACAAAAAGGAAGUGUCCUAAGUGGAUAAUUAUGAACCUACUCUGGUCCAUGCGAAAGGGAUUUUUUUUGGUAGUUCUGAGUGUUUGCUCUUUUGGCUGUUGGGUGCUCUCCAGCUCAGUCAGAGCACCAUAAGCAAAGAUGGUAAAGGCAUUAUGCUGUAGAAAUUGGAUGUUCCAGUGCUUAUAGAACUAAAGUUCAAUAUUAGCAUAUUUUUUUGCAUUUAACCAUGCAGACAAUUGGUAACUUAAAUUGGCCUGGCUAGAAGGCUAGUUAUGCCAUGCUGUUAUUGAGACAAUUCUCCUGACUCAGAAAUCAAUAGUUUGUUUACAUGAGUUAUAGAUUGUCAAUCCAUGCCAAAAUCAUGACCUAGGUUAUCACUCUACUCUCAUACCUCGUUUUCCUUCUGAUUUUACCCUGUUAUGUCUUUCUUUGUUCACUUUGGUGCCUGGUGUUGGGUUUCAUCUCUAGCAUGCCCCAACUUUCUUGGGAAUAAAGAGGUUUUGGUGCUGGAGAUCUGCCAGCCAGGCCUAUAUCAGUGUGGGAACUGAGUUGGGGUGCACAGUUAGGGGCCGGUUAGCUAAUAUAUUAGAUGGAAUGAAUGAGAUGCUGAUGAUACAUAAAAUUAAUUUUGUAGAGUUUAGUGAUAAGUUACAGUUUUUAAUCUACCACCCUUCAAACUACAAAUAUGUUUGUUGCUUAACUAAUGAAACAUUUUUCAGUGUCAUUGUGGAAGCUCUCAAGAUGGACAGUUUGCAGAAGCUCUGUUCAUCGCUCGAGCCCAUUCUCCGAAGAGUGGUGAGUCAAAUUUCUGUUGUGACUUAUUUUAGUUUAUAUGCAAAUUGUGUAUACAUAUCCUUAUUGACAUAUUUGAUCCAUUCUAUUUCUGGUCCUAGGUAAGUGAAGAAGUAGAGCGUGCUUUAGCCAAACUGGGUCCUGCUAUUCAAGGAAGGUAAAAAAAAAAUCAACUUACUCUUCAUGGUGACGCUUGGGAGAUGUUCUGUCUUGGAAAUUGAGAUUUAUUAUUGCUAUUGUGAUAUUACCACACUAAAGGCUCUUGGGUUAUGAAACUAAUAUCAAUGAAAACAGAUCCUCCCCCAAAAGAAUUGAAGGCCCUGAUGGAAGAAAUCUUCAGCUUCAGUUCAGAAGUCAGUUGGCUCUUCCAAUCUUCACUGGUGGGAAAGUUGAAGGUGAGCAGGGCGCAGCUAUACAUGUCGUGCUGUUGGAUGCAAACACUGGAUGUGUUGUUACUUCAGGACCUGAGUCGUUUGCAAAACUGGAUAUCCUUGUGCUUGAGGGCGACUUUAAUAAAGAGGAAGAUGAGGAUUGGACAGAAGAAGAGUUUGAAAGUAAUAUUGUCAAGGAGCGUGAAGGGAAGAGGCCUCUUUUGACAGGUGACCUGCAAGUGACUCUUAAAGAAGGUGUUGGAACCAUAGGGGAGCUUACCUUCACUGACAACUCCAGCUGGAUAAGAAGCAGGAA